RNAcentral lists this transfer RNA (66 nucleotides) under Cleistostoma dilatatum. RNAcentral's name for it is "tRNA-Thr". It matches the Rfam family "tRNA". From Rfam's summary of the family: Transfer RNA (tRNA) molecules are approximately 80 nucleotides in length. The record is from RNAcentral. Lineage: Eukaryota; Metazoa; Arthropoda; Malacostraca; Decapoda; Camptandriidae.
GUUUUAAUAGUUUAAAUUAAAACUUUGGUCUUGUAAACCAAAAAUGAAAUAAAUUUUCUUAAAACU